AUUGAACGCUGGCGGAAUGCUUUACACAUGCAAGUCGAACGGCAGCACGGGGCAACCUGGUGGCGAGUGGCGAACGGGUGAGUAAUACAUCGGAACGUGCCCAAUCGUGGGGGAUAACGUAGCGAAAGUUACGCUAAUACCGCAUACGAUCUACGGAUGAAAGCGGGGGAUCGCAAGACCUCGCGCGAGUGGAGCGGCCGAUGUCAGAUUAGGUAGUUGGUGGGGUAAAGGCUCACCAAGCCAACGAUCUGUAGCUGGUCUGAGAGGACGACCAGCCACACUGGAACUGAGACACGGUCCAGACUCCUACGGGAGGCAGCAGUGGGGAAUAUUGGACAAUGGGCGAAAGCCUGAUCCAGCAAUGCCGCGUGAGUGAUGAAGGCCUUAGGGUUGUAAAGCUCUUUUACCAGGGAUGAUAAUGACAGUACCUGGAGAAUAAGCUCCGGCUAACUCCGUG
RNAcentral lists this ribosomal RNA (457 nucleotides) under uncultured bacterium. Its description in RNAcentral is "bacterial SSU rRNA". It matches the Rfam family "Bacterial small subunit ribosomal RNA", at positions 30 to 507 of the family's 1533-position model. The record is from RNAcentral.